Molecule: ribosomal RNA, 549 nt
Filed under: Triticum aestivum (bread wheat)
Lineage: Eukaryota; Viridiplantae; Streptophyta; Magnoliopsida; Poales; Poaceae
Description: partial small subunit ribosomal RNA
Source: RNAcentral
AUGAGUAACUUUUACUUCAUUGUGAUGUCGUGGAAUGUUAGAGGUCUCAAUGCUCCGGCUAGACGAACGACGAUCAGUGAAGUAGCUAGCAUUCACAACACAGCAAUUUUUACACUCCGGGAGACAAAGAUCGAGCAAUGGACCACUAAAAUUGCAAAAUAGGUGGGCGGUACAGCUCUUCAGGGAUGUGUUGUGCUACCUGCAAUUGGGAGGAGAGGAGGCGUAGCUAUCUUCUCAAACAAAGAUAUAGUUUCGAUCUCCUCUCACGCCAUCGGCAGAUUCUCAAUCACGGCAAAGGUUACAAAACUGGGAAGAAAUGAACAGUUCUGGUUAACAACGGUCAAUGGACCAAAUGAUGACACUCUCAGAGAGGAAUUCCUUCAAGAGCUUGUUGCUUCUGCACCACCUCUUGGCGAGCCAUGGCUGGUAACAGGGGAUUUCAACAUGAUCUAUGAAGCCCGGGACAAGAGAAAUUUAAAUCUGAGGAGAAGAAUUAUGGGCAGGUUUAGAAAAGCAAUAGACUAUGCAGGACUCAAGGAGAUUAAGUGC